GACGAACGCUGGCGGCAGGCCUAACACAUGCAAGUCGAACGAGUGGCGGACGGGUGAGUAAUGUCUGGGAAACUGCCUGAUGGCGGGGGAUAACUACUGGAAACGGUAGCUAAUACCGCAUACCAUCAGAUGUGCCCAGAUGGGAUUAGCUAGUAGGUGGGGUAACGGCUCACCUAGGCGACGAUCCCUAGCUGGUAUGAGAGGAUGACCAGCCACACGGGAACUGAGACACGGUCCAGACUCCGACGGUAGGCAGCAGUGGGGAAUAUUGCACAAUGGGCGCAAGCCUGAUGCAGCCAUGCCGCGUGUGUGAAGAAGGCCUUCGGGUUGUAAAGUACUUUCAGCGGGGAGGCGUUACCCGCAGAAGAAGCACCGGCUAACUCCGUGCCAGCAGCCGCGGUAAUUC
Molecule: ribosomal RNA, 406 nt
Filed under: uncultured bacterium
Lineage: Bacteria
Description: partial 16S ribosomal RNA
Rfam family: Bacterial small subunit ribosomal RNA
Source: RNAcentral